AAAAAGUUAGUUAAAAUAUAACCUAAAUAUGUCAUAUUUAAAUUAUUAGUUAUUUCUGAUACUUUUUG
RNAcentral lists this transfer RNA (68 nucleotides) under Micromus paganus. RNAcentral's name for it is "tRNA-Asp". The record is from RNAcentral. Lineage: Eukaryota; Metazoa; Arthropoda; Insecta; Neuroptera; Hemerobiidae.